Molecule: ribosomal RNA, 902 nt
Filed under: uncultured Bacillota bacterium
Lineage: Bacteria; Bacillati; Bacillota
Description: bacterial SSU rRNA
Rfam family: Bacterial small subunit ribosomal RNA
Source: RNAcentral
CAAGUCGAACGCGAAAGUUCCCUUCGGGGAGCGAGUAGAGUGGCGCACGGGUGAGUAACACGUAGGUAAUCUACCUUUGGAUUGGGAAUAACCACCGGAAACGGUGGCUAAUACCGAAUAAUGCAGCGGCACCUAAUGGUGACAGUUGUUAAAGCGGGGGAUCGCAAGACCUCGCGUCUGAAGAGGAGCCUGCGGCAGAUUAGCUAGUUGGUAAGGUAACGGCUUACCAAGGCGAUGAUCUGUAGCCGGCCUGAGAGGGCGGUCGGCCACACUGACACUGACAUACGGGUCAGACUCCUACGGGAGGCAGCAGUCGGGAAUUUUGGGCAAUGGGCGAAAGCCUGACCCAGCAACGCCGCGUGAAGGAUGAAAUCCUUCGGGAUGUAAACUUCGCAAGAACAGGAAGAAUAAGUAAGGGUUAAUAUCUCUUACGAUGACGGUACUGUUUGUAAGCUCCGGCUAACUCCGUGCCAGCAGCCGCGGUAAUACGGGGGGAGCAAGCGUUGUUCGGAUUUACUGGGCGUAAAGGGCGCGUAGGCGGCCUCCGCAAGUCGACUGUGAAAUCUCCGGGCUUAACCCGGAACGGUCAGCCGAAACUGCGGGGCUAGAGUGCAGAAGGGGCAACUGGAAUUCUCGGUGUAGCGGUGAAAUGCGUAGAUAUCGAGAGGAACACCUGCGGCGAAGGCGGGUUGCUGGGCUGACACUGACGCUGAAGCGCGAAAGCUAGGGGAGCGAACGGGAUUAGAUACCCCGGUAGUCCUAGCCUUAAACGAUGAAUGCUUGGUGUCUGGGGUUUUAUAGUCCCCGGGUGCCGUCGCUAACGCUUUAAGCAUUCCGCCUGGGGAGUACAGUCGCAAGACUGAAACUCAAAGGAAUUGACGGGGACCCGCACAAGCGGUGGA